RNAcentral lists this transfer RNA (71 nucleotides) under Candidatus Tremblaya phenacola PAVE. RNAcentral's name for it is "tRNA-Thr (GGT) (tRNA-Thr-GGT-1-1)". It matches the Rfam family "tRNA". Rfam says of the family: Transfer RNA (tRNA) molecules are approximately 80 nucleotides in length. Their secondary structure includes four short double-helical elements and three loops (D, anti-codon, and T loops). Lineage: Bacteria; Pseudomonadati; Pseudomonadota; Betaproteobacteria. The record is from RNAcentral.
GCCUGCAUAGCUCAGAGGCAGAGCAUUCUCUUGGUAAGGGAAAGGAAGCAGUUCGAUUCUGCUUGUAGGCA